GAGUGAUGCAUGGAUAGAUAGACUGAAUUUUGUCUGAAGGAGAUUUGGGAGAACGGGCUCGUUUCCACUUGACUUGGAAGAUGCAGCAUGAUCUGUGCGUUUUCAGCAUAUUUUUUAUUUUACUUUGAUUGUACCAGCAAGAUUAAAGUCAGAAAUUACACUCCAGAGAACUGAUGUGUCAGCUGGGUUCGGAGACAGCACGUGUAUUCGAGUUAGAAGGCUGUGGGUUCAAGACUCCAACCAAUGGAGAAGAUCCCCCAAAUCCCAGACUUCAGUUUGGCCUGGACUAUUUGAUACCACAUUCGGUCAAGCGCUA
Chiloscyllium plagiosum (whitespotted bambooshark) is the source of this 316-nucleotide long non-coding RNA. RefSeq lists it as uncharacterized. The record is from RefSeq and is a predicted model, not a curated record. NCBI's taxonomy places the organism in Eukaryota, Metazoa, Chordata, Chondrichthyes, Orectolobiformes, Hemiscylliidae.